AGACCAAAUCCAGACCGCCGAAGGCAAAGCUAAGGAGGGACCAUCUCCUCCGUCGAGGACCUGAUGGCUACGCCCAUCCUCCACAGAUGGGUGGGGGCAUCGGCAGGAGGCCUUCAGUAAAACACACGUCUCCACGACAACAUGGACAACAUGACCGAGUUUGACACCCUUGACCCCUUCAGCAGUGAGGCGGCGUCCUCCGAGACAGUUAAACCAAACAUCUUCCAGGUUUCUCUUACAGGAUUUCUGAUUCUGGAGAUGGUGCUGGGCCUAAGUUCUAACCUCACCGUGCUGGUUCUGUACUGUCUCCAGCAGAACCUUAUCAGUUCUGUCUCCAACAUCAUCACCAUGAACCUGCAUGUACUGGAUUUGCUGGUGAGAACUCCUUUAGUUCAGCUUUUUGUUUGUUUGUUUACUGUUUAACACCCAAACAAACUAUAAGCAGUAUCUACAGUAAAGGAGCCACUGAAGGUCUCAAAUCAGACAUCACUGGAGAGCAGAGGUUAUGAACUGUGCCAUAAAAAUAGCUGACACCCUUCUCUACCUACAUUAAAUUGCUGCUAGUUUGAUGCAAAUUCAAACCACUUUCAAGUUUUUUUUUCCAAGGAAGCUGCCAAAGUCAGUUGAGUUUCACAUCAUGAGUCAGCUCUGCAAUGAGAGGAAGUGCCUAAGCUGAAAUUACAAACAUUGAUGAGCGUUUUGUCUCCUCACAAGUUCUGUUCUUGAGCAUCCUCAAGUGGAAAAUCAUAUUUUCAUCUCCACAUGCAUUUUAAUCG
Long non-coding RNA from Oryzias melastigma (Indian medaka), 776 nucleotides. RefSeq lists it as uncharacterized. The record is from RefSeq and is a predicted model, not a curated record. Lineage: Eukaryota; Metazoa; Chordata; Actinopteri; Beloniformes; Adrianichthyidae. The transcript is spliced from 3 exons.